AGUUGCACAUUUUUCUUUGCAUGAAUGGAAGCUGAGAGGAGCUAUUUUCCCUACAUGCUUUCUCAAAUGGAGCCACAUAGACAAUCUAAAUGACAUAAUUGUGUGUAUGUUGAGUGUAUGUGUAUAUUUUGACUAACCAU
This 140-nucleotide small RNA is filed under the name Dipodomys ordii (Ord's kangaroo rat). Its description in RNAcentral is "Glm Y RNA activator of glmS mRNA". It matches the Rfam family "Glm Y RNA activator of glmS mRNA". From Rfam's summary of the family: This family consists of a number of bacterial RNA genes of around 167 bases in length. The function of this RNA is unknown. The record is from Rfam by way of RNAcentral. Lineage: Eukaryota; Metazoa; Chordata; Mammalia; Rodentia; Heteromyidae.